UUACUUGCGGAGGAGACCCCGAACGUCCUCCGUAUAAAAGGGUCAUGCCUGAGGAUCGGCGGUACGGAGUCGUAGUGAGCUAGUGAGCAACGAGGAGAAUCCCAGUUGCUGCGAGUUUACUUGCGGAGGAGACCCCGAACGUCCUCCGUAUAAAAGGGUCAUGCCUGAGGAUCGGCGGUACGGGGUCGUAGGCCUCAAUCACUGUCAGCCCUUAUUAAUGGAUGCAACCCAACGCUCUCGGAGAAUCGGAUAUGCUAAAAGUCUUUCGAGUAGCUGCACACUGCAAGCCUGCCCCUCGAAUGGGUGUAGUGUAGACUGCUGCGGAGGAGACCCCGAACGUCCUCCGUAUAAAAGGGUCAUGCCUGAGGAUCGGCGGUACGGAGUCGUAGUGAGCUAGUGAGCAACGAGGAGAAUCCCAGUUGCUGCGAGUUUACUUGCGGAGGAGACCCCGAACGUCCUCCGUAUAAAAGGGUCAUGCCUGAGGAUCGGCGGUACGGAGUCGUAGUGAGCUAGUGAGCAACGAGGAGAAUCCCAGUUGCUGCGAGUUUACUUGCGGAGGAGACCCCGAACGUCCUCCGUAUAAAAGGGUCAUGCCUGAGGAUCGGCGGUACGGGGUCGUAGGCCUCAAUCACUGUCAGCCCUUAUUAAUGGAUGCAACCCAACGCUCUCGGAGAAUCGGAUAUGCUAAAAGUCUUUCGAGGCCUUAAUCACUGUCAGCCUCAUGGAUUCUGCGGAUUGCAGCUCGGAAUCAGAUCUAAGUUCGUGGUCAAACUCUUCUGUUGGCGAUGGGCCAACUGCCAGUAGCUGCACACUGCAAGCCUGCCCCUCGAAUGGGUGUAGUGUAGACUG
Molecule: non-coding RNA, 849 nt
Organism: Drosophila suzukii
Lineage: Eukaryota; Metazoa; Arthropoda; Insecta; Diptera; Drosophilidae
Source: RefSeq, a predicted model, not a curated record